GAUCCUGGCUCAGAUUGAACGCUGGCGGAAUGCUUUACACAUGCAAGUCGAACGGUAGAGGGGGCAACCCCUUGAGAGUGGCGAACGGGUGAGUAAUAUAUCGGAACGUGCCCAGUCGUGGGGGAUAACGUAGCGAAAGUUACGCUAAUACCGCAUACGAUCUACGGAUGAAAGCGGGGGACUCGCAAGAGCCUCGCGCGAUUGGAGCGGCCGAUAUCAGAUUAGGUAGUUGGUGGGGUAAAGGCUCACCAAGCCAACGAUCUGUAGCUGGUCUGAGAGGACGACCAGCCACACUGGCACUGAGAUACGGGCCAGACUCCUACGGGAGGCAGCAGUAGGGAAUAUUGGGCAAUGGAUGCAAGUCUGACCCAGCCAUGCCGCGUGCAGGAAGAAGGUCCUCUGGAUUGUAAACUGCUUUUAUCGGGGAAGAAUAGUUUCUUGCGAGGGAAUGUGACGGUACCCGAUGAAUAAGCCACGGCUAACUACGUG
Molecule: ribosomal RNA, 489 nt
Filed under: uncultured bacterium
Lineage: Bacteria
Description: bacterial SSU rRNA
Rfam family: Bacterial small subunit ribosomal RNA
Source: RNAcentral